This 484-nucleotide ribosomal RNA is filed under the name uncultured bacterium. RNAcentral describes it as "partial 16S ribosomal RNA". It matches the Rfam family "Bacterial small subunit ribosomal RNA", at positions 30 to 507 of the family's 1533-position model. The record is from RNAcentral.
AUUGAACGCUGGCGGAAUGCUUUACACAUGCAAGUCGAGCGGCAGCGCGGCCUUCGGGCUGGCGGCGAGCGGCGAACGGGUGAGUAAUGCAUCGGAACAUGCCCAGUCGUGGGGGAUAACACUUCGAAAGAAGUGCUAAUACCGCAUACGUCCUGAGGGGGCAAGCGGGGGAUCGCAAGACCUCGCGCGAUUUGAGUGGCCGAUGUCAGAUUAGCUAGUUGGUGGGGUAAAGGCCUACCAAGGCGACGAUCUGUAGCUGGUCUGAGAGGAUGAUCAGCCACACUGGGACUGAGACACGGCCCAGACUCCUACGGGAGGCAGCAGUGGGGAAUUUUGGACAAUGGGGGCAACCCUGAUCCAGCCAUUCCGCGUGAGUGAAGAAGGCCUUCGGGUUGUAAAGCUCUUUCGGCAGGAACGAAACGGUGGGCUCUAACAUAGUCCGCUAAUGACGGUACCUGAAGAAGAAGCACCGGCUAACUACGUG